Molecule: ribosomal RNA, 322 nt
Filed under: uncultured eukaryote
Lineage: Eukaryota
Description: partial 18S ribosomal RNA
Rfam family: Eukaryotic small subunit ribosomal RNA
Source: RNAcentral
CCCUUAGAUGUUCUGGGCCGUACGCGUGCUACACUGAGUGGAUCAGCGGGUCAGGUUGCGCGAAAGUGUUUCCUAAUCUUUAAAUCCGCUCGUGAUGGGGAUUGACGGUUGCAAUUUUCCGUCAUGAACGAGGAAUACCUUGUAAGCGCGGGUCAUCAUCCCGCGCUGAAUACGUCCCUGCCCUUUGUACACACCGCCCGUCGCUCCUACCGAUUGAGUGGUCCGGUGAGGCUUUGGGAUCUGAGCGGAAAGAGCGUUUCGCUGUUUCUGCCCGGAAAACUCAGUCGAACCUUAUCAUUUAGAGGAAGGAGAAGUCGUAACA